CCUACGGGCGGCUGCAGUCGAGAAUCUUCCGCAAUGGGGGAAACCCUGACGAAGCGACGCCGCGUGCAGGAUGAAGGCCUUCGGGUUGUAAACUGCUGUCAGCUGGGGCGAAUGAGUUUUCGGUGAACAAUCGAGAGCUCUUGACGGUACCAGCAGAGGAAGCCACGGCUAACUCUGUGCCAGCAGCCGCGGUAAUACAGAGGUGGCGAGCGUUGUUCGGAUUUAUUGGGCGUAAAGGGUCUGUAGGCGGUCAGGAAUGUCGGAUGUGAAAUCCCACAGCUUAACUGUGGAACUGCAUUCGAAACUUCCUGACUAGAGUAUGAGAGAGGUAAAGGGAAUUCCCGGUGUAAGGGUGAAAUCUGCAGAGAUCGGGAGGAACACCAGUAGCGAAGGCGCUUUACUGGCUCAUUACUGACGCUGAGGGACGAAAGCUAGGGGAGCAAACGGGAUUAGAUACCCCGGUAGUC
RNAcentral lists this ribosomal RNA (467 nucleotides) under uncultured bacterium. Its description in RNAcentral is "bacterial SSU rRNA". It matches the Rfam family "Bacterial small subunit ribosomal RNA", at positions 338 to 795 of the family's 1533-position model. The record is from RNAcentral.